This 222-nucleotide ribosomal RNA is filed under the name uncultured bacterium. Its description in RNAcentral is "partial 16S ribosomal RNA". It matches the Rfam family "Bacterial small subunit ribosomal RNA", at positions 943 to 1167 of the family's 1533-position model. The record is from RNAcentral.
GGGUUUAAUUCGAUGAUACGCGAGGAACCUUACCAGGGCUCGAACGCACGACGACAGGGCGGAAACGUCCUCUUCUUCGGACGGCGUGCGAGGUGCUGCAUGGCUGUCGUCAGCUCGUGCCGUGAGGUGUCGGGUUAAGUCCCAUAACGAGCGCAACCCCCAUCUCUAGUUGCCAGCGGGUAAUGCCGGGGACUCUAGAGAAACUGCCCGUGUAAACGGUGA